RNAcentral lists this unclassified non-coding RNA (288 nucleotides) under Hevea brasiliensis (rubber tree). The record is from RNAcentral. Lineage: Eukaryota; Viridiplantae; Streptophyta; Magnoliopsida; Malpighiales; Euphorbiaceae.
CAAAACUUCAUCGAUAAUGGGCGUCUACCUAUCGGAUUGACUCCUUUUGCCAUGAAUAACCAGUUCUUGGUUCUUCCAAACGAGCUUCAUCGUCUGGUGAAGAGUAGAAGACACAGCUCCAGCCAUUUGGAUGAAAGGCCUUCCAUAAAGAAGGUUAUAGCUGGUGUUAAUGUCCAAUACAUGAAACUGUACACUGAACUCCGUCAGACCCAUUUGGAUGACCAAAUUCACCGCUCUCAACAUAUCUCUCUGUACUCCGUCGAAUGCUCUUACAUUGACCUGGUUUUG